Schistosoma rodhaini is the source of this 45-nucleotide non-coding RNA. Lineage: Eukaryota; Metazoa; Platyhelminthes; Trematoda; Strigeidida; Schistosomatidae. The record is from Rfam.
AUCCAGCUGACGAGUCUCCAAUAGGACGAAACAUGCGUCCUGAAU